AAUCUUUAUCGGUUCAACUUUUGAAAUUUGGGGAUUCAAUUCUUGGAAAAGUUGCUUCUCUCAGGCUUCCAGGCCACUCCGGCUGUGCAAAUUUAACUUCUAUCGUGAUGGAAAUUAGGGGAAAUCCCUUGGUCUUCAGUUAUCCUUCAACCUUUAACAUUAUCCCGUCUAGAUCAUCGAGCAUUGAGAGCCGUUAACCUUCUUAGAUUGGCCUAGUGACGCCAUUUGCUCAUAUUGCAUUGUGUGACGUGCUUCAACACGCACGCACGCACACACACACACCCCCCCCGUUGUCAGGGCACGCACGUAUUUGCCAAAACAUGCUGCUGUCUUUUUCCCCAACAUGAGUGCCUGUCAACUCUCCAGAAAUCUGCGAUGUCUCCAGAUUUGUUCCCUCGAUGGGAAACUUUCUGUUUGUGUGGCAUGUUUUGUUGGUGUUUUGCGUGUAAAAUGACACUGACGUGACACGGCCAGUGUGUAUGUUUGCCCAUAAAGGAUGGAGUUUCAUGUCAUCCAUCUCCCCUGAAGGAGGAGAGAAGUAGUCGAGAGGAAAAAGUGGCUGAGGAAGAAAAAAAAUGGCACGCAAGAGGUACAUGGCUAAGCAGUGCCAGGUAAUAAUGUUUUUAAUGAACAGAUAGUUGAACUGAGCUGCUGAUUCUAUAUUUGCUCAAUGCUGCGCAGUUCCUACAUCGACUCAUGUUAAAAAGAUCUUGAACCAGGAUUUUUGCGUCCCUGAGUCCAUGGUUGGAAUUGUAUUGUAUUCUUCGAUUUUCCUCCGAUAAAUAACCAAACCUUACAGUAUAUUUGCCAAUGCAACUACUAGCCAUUGCUUCUACAGGUUACCAGGCUUAUUGAAGUAAAAUGCAUGCAACAAUAAAUGUUGCCAGCCCUCGGAAUGAAGUGGACAAGGUAAUCAUUUCAGCCCUUGUGUUUACAUGGCCACUAUGCUUCUUUUAUAAAGUAUUUCAGGCCCAUUUGCUGUUGGUAAUUGAGGACAAAAAAUUACGUAAUUGUAAAUGAUCUGAAGGGGAAAUAACGCCCAAACAAUUACUCAUAACGUGCAGCAAUUCUAACAACACGAAAUGAUUGGCUAUGCGCGUUGAACACGAAUACAAUGCAAAAUGAUUAAAAACUUUCAAAAUUCAGCAUUCUGAAACUGCAUAAAUUACACCUUGUUUUUUUUCACGUUUCAUGGUAAUAUUUUUAAAGACUCAACAUAACACAGGACGUCUAAACUCACCCUGAUAUGACAGCAUUGCAUACCAAUUUCCCACAGUCCACCUUUUAAAUGUUUAAAAAUAAUCUUUUCUUUCAAACCAUGUUUUUCAUUAAUUGGAUGUUUUAUAUUAUAACGUUUUCAUAAAAAAAAUACUAAGCAUUUUUAACCAUGAGCCUGUUUUGGAAUAGAAGUAAAGCACUUCUGUAAACAGACUGGGAAAUUAAAGAAUGAUUAUUUUGAUUGAUUUGGAUUUAAAAAAAAAUGUUUACCUUUUUUUAUGAUGGAAAAUGCUCCAUAUUCUACACAUUGGAGGAAUCACAAGUCUCACACUCAGCCCUCUAGAGCAUUCUCACUUGCACUGAAUAGGUGUAGAUGACUCUGUCAUUAACGUGUAUUAUAACAUAAACUUUUCCUUUUCAGUCUCAAAUUAAGCGACAUUUCAAGGAAAGAGGAAAAUUCUUCAAUUAGACUCAUGAGGCCUCACAAAGAUGCCACCAGUUCAGCGAGCGGCACCCAUUGGAAGUCCACCUGCUUUUCCUGGCCCCAUCCUGCUGUCGCCGACGUCUAUGCCUCCAAGAGGAGCUGCUUUCAUCUCCACCGAGUUUGACCCGACCAAGUUGGCACCGAGUAGUGUAAAACACCCGGAGGACUCCAUCCAGGACUCUAUAGGAGACACAGGCAUGCCUUUGGAUAUGUGCGCCGACCACCAGCUGGGUUCUCCCACAGCACCGGUGAUGACCCUGCCGGGCACGGGAGUCAUGCAGGGUUCCAGACUGGGCAUGCCCCCUCUGCAGCCUCCCCCCAACAUGCCGAAUCCUCAUCUACCUCCUUUCCUCUCGCCUCCAAACAUGUCGCACAAUCACCCGCAAAUGAUGCCCGGACGGCCCGUGUUUUCUCCGGAGAGGUUCAGGAUGCCCAUGCCCUUUCCGCCUCGCGGCCCUCCUUUCCAUCGGCAUCUCUCCAUGGGACCAGACGGCAUGCACGACAGGGAAGGGAUGCAUUUCAGAAACGGGAGAGCAGGGUUUGGGUGCCCGCCCUUCCAGAGAGGGAGGUGGUAGAAGCAGGCAGAAUGACAGACCUGAGGGGAGAGGCGUCGGGAUCACUGUGACGGAUCAGUAUCACGACAUCUGGUUCAACAAGGAACUGCUGUAAAUAAUUGAGGGUGCUUAGACUUCUUUUAGUACCGCACCCUUUUCUUACCGUCACAUGAACAAUCACACAGACAGUGUUCUGAAUGUGAUCCACGCACCUCCAAGUUCACCAGAGGAGAGACCUUUUGUUGUAAAUACUGUACAUGCUCGUAGCUGUUUGCUAUCUUUUUGUAUAUUUGAAGUGUGUAGUUCAUGCUGAAGUCUAAUCUUAGUAGUUGGAGGGGAAAAAACAAAGGCAACGUCUGUAUUUUUGAGCGUAUUCCCUUUACCAUAGUUUUUGUCUAAGGAAGGAGACUGAAAAUCUAUAAUUCAAUCACCGUUUUGGUAUUUAGUUUUUAGCGAAAUGGCUUUUGUAACACACUAAUGUUUAAUUCCUGAGUUAAGAAGUUUGAUUUCAUUUGAAGUGGAAGAUUCAUGUCCUGCCAGCAGAGGGUAGUGUAAACCCUGUUACCGCGGCCAACCCCUGUUGUACAUUAAGGUCACACCUUGUAACUCGCAUUGAAAAUUAAAAAAAGGUUUCA
Molecule: long non-coding RNA, 2891 nt
Organism: Gasterosteus aculeatus aculeatus (three-spined stickleback)
Lineage: Eukaryota; Metazoa; Chordata; Actinopteri; Perciformes; Gasterosteidae
Source: Ensembl